Molecule: transfer RNA, 73 nt
Filed under: Canis lupus familiaris (dog)
Lineage: Eukaryota; Metazoa; Chordata; Mammalia; Carnivora; Canidae
Also listed under: 2 other names
Rfam family: tRNA
About the family: Transfer RNA (tRNA) molecules are approximately 80 nucleotides in length.
Source: Rfam by way of RNAcentral
ACCUGGCUGGCUCAGUUGGUAGAGCAUGUGACUCUUGAUCUCAGGGUUGUAGGUUCGAGCCCCAUAUUGGGUG